Molecule: long non-coding RNA, 460 nt
Organism: Salvia splendens (bonfire salvia)
Lineage: Eukaryota; Viridiplantae; Streptophyta; Magnoliopsida; Lamiales; Lamiaceae
Exons: 3
Source: RefSeq, a predicted model, not a curated record
AAAAUUGAUAUUUUCAGAAAUGGACUAAAAAAUAAAUAAUUCAUACUUUUCAGAAAGUGCGUGGUCGGAGUUCUCCUUGGAACUUCCUUCAAGGGCACCGUCGACGUCACUAACAGCUACGCACGCAGUGCCUUUUGAAGAAGAUGAAAGGGACCAUAGCAUCUGGUUUCUUGAUCAUAACUACCAUGAAUCAAUGUUUUCCAUGUCCAGAAGAAUAAAUGCCAAGGAGCAUGUUGUGGGCUGGUAUAGCACUGGUCCAAAACUAAAGGAAAAUGAUCUGAGUGUACAUGGUCUUUUCAGUGAGUAAGAUCUCUUUCUAAUACUGUUAUAUUUUCCUUCGGGCUGAUUCAUAACAGAUGUUUCUGUUUGCUGGUUAGUUGCUGCUGGUUUUUGUUGUUCAUGACCUUAUUAGAGACAAUAUCAUGUUAAAAAAGAUUCCUUUCAAGCAUGGAACACAAAC